RNAcentral lists this ribosomal RNA (473 nucleotides) under uncultured bacterium. RNAcentral describes it as "partial 16S ribosomal RNA". It matches the Rfam family "Bacterial small subunit ribosomal RNA", at positions 29 to 507 of the family's 1533-position model. The record is from RNAcentral.
AACGAACGUUGGCGGCGUGGAUUAGGCAUGCAAGUCGUACGAGUUUCAUCUGGGUAACUGGCUGAAAAAAGUGGCGAAAGGGGCAGUAAGGCAUGGAUAAUCUACCCUGAUGACCGGGAUAGCUGUCCCAACGGGCAGGUAAUACCGGAUGAGCUGGUGGGGCCGCAUGGUUCUGCCAGGAAAGGCGCCAGCCGUGUCGGGAGGAAUCCAUGUGAUAUUAGCUAGUUGGUGAGGUAAAGGCUCACCAAGGCGAAGAUGUCUAGCGGGUGUGAGAGCACGACCCGCGCCAUUGGCACUGAGACACUGGCCAGACUCCUACGGGAGGCUGCAGUCGAGGAUCUUCGGCAAUGGGCGAAAGCCUGACCGAGCGACGCCGCGUGAGCGAUGAAGGCCAUUAGGUUGUAAAGCUCUGUCGAGGGGGAACAAGCCGCAAGGUUGAGUGAUCCCUGGAGGAAGCACGGGCUAAGUUCGUG